Molecule: ribosomal RNA, 490 nt
Filed under: Pseudomonas sp. Z48
Lineage: Bacteria; Pseudomonadati; Pseudomonadota; Gammaproteobacteria; Pseudomonadales; Pseudomonadaceae
Description: bacterial SSU rRNA
Rfam family: Bacterial small subunit ribosomal RNA
Source: RNAcentral
UGCGCUUAUCAGAUGAGCCUAGGUCGGAUUAGCUUAGUUGGUGGGGUAAUGGCUCACCAAGGCGACGAUCCGUAACUGGUCUGAGAGGAUGAUCAGUCACACUGGAACUGAGACACGGUCCAGACUCCUACGGGAGGCAGCAGUGGGGAAUAUUGGACAAUGGGCGAAAGCCUGAUCCAGCCAUGCCGCGUGUGUGAAGAAGGUCUUCGGAUUGUAAAGCACUUUAAGUUGGGAGGAAGGGCCAUUACCUAAUACGUGAUGGUUUUGACGUUACCGACAGAAUAAGCACCGGCUAACUCUGUGCCAGCAGCCGCGGUAAUACAGAGGGUGCAAGCGUUAAUCGGAAUUACUGGGCGUAAAGCGCGCGUAGGUGGUUUGUUAAGUUGGAUGUGAAAUCCCCGGGCUCAACCUGGGAACUGCAUUCUAAAACUGACUGACUAGAGUAUGGUAGAGGGUGGUGGAAUUUCCUGUGUAGCGGUGAAAUGCGUAG